CAUGAAAAUCUUAUUUGCAAAAAUUGUUAGAUCUGUUUGGAUGGUGGCUGGGCACAUACACAUCUAAAAUUCAUAAGAUCAGUUUUGAUUGGUAUGCACGUCAACAUGUUGCAGUCAAACUGUUGCUUUUAUGUAUGUGAAAAAAUGUUGGGCUAGAACUUUUCACAUUUGUAGUAGUGGACCUCAACUAGGUUAUAGUUAUACUCUUCACUUUUGCUUACAUUUCCCUAUUCUUAUUAUUCUGAUUUGUCUCUACAGUCUAGCUAUAACUCUACCUAAGUAGUUUGUGUUUAGCCAGUCCUAAGCCCGGAUAAAGGAGG
RNAcentral lists this unclassified non-coding RNA (320 nucleotides) under Hevea brasiliensis (rubber tree). Lineage: Eukaryota; Viridiplantae; Streptophyta; Magnoliopsida; Malpighiales; Euphorbiaceae. The record is from RNAcentral.